AAGGGGAGCAAUCCCUGAUUAGAGUGGCAAACGGGUGAGUAACACGUGGGUGACCUGCCUUCGAGUGGGGGAUAACCUUCCGAAAGGAGGGCUAAUACCGCAUGACAUACCGUGUUUGGAUACACGGAUAUCAAAGCCGGGGAUCGCAAGACCUGGCGCUUGAAGAGGGGCCCGCGUCCGAUUAGCUAGUUGGUGGGGUAACGGCUCACCAAGGCUCCGAUCGGUAUCCGGCCUGAGAGGGCGGACGGACACACUGGAACUGAGACACGGUCCAGACUCCUACGGGAGGCAGCAGUGGGGAAUUGUUCGCAAUGGGCGAAAGCCUGACGACGCAACGCCGCGUGGAGGAUGAAGAAUUUCGGU
This 363-nucleotide ribosomal RNA is filed under the name uncultured bacterium. RNAcentral's name for it is "bacterial SSU rRNA". It matches the Rfam family "Bacterial small subunit ribosomal RNA", at positions 72 to 422 of the family's 1533-position model. The record is from RNAcentral.